AUUGAACGCUGGCGGCAUGCCUUACACAUGCAAGUCGAACGGCAGCACGGGUGCUUGCACCUGGUGGCGAGUGGCGAACGGGUGAGUAAUACAUCGGAACGUACCUUAUCGUGGGGGAUAACGCAGCGAAAGCUGUGCUAAUACCGCAUACGCCCUGAGGGGGAAAGCGGGGGAUCGAAAGACCUCGCGCGAUUAGAGCGGCCGAUGCCUGAUUAGCUUGUGGGUGGGGUAAAAGCCCACCAAGGCGACGAUCAGUAGCUGGUCUGAGAGGACGAUCAGCCACACUGGGACUGAGACACGGCCCAGACUCCUACGGGAGGCAGCAGUGGGGAAUUUUGGACAAUGGGGGCAACCCUGAUCCAGCAAUGCCGCGUGAGUGAAGAAGGCCUUCUGGUUGUAAAGCUCUUUUGUCAGGGAAGAAACACCGGCUCUAACACAGUCCGGGAAUGACGGUACCUGAAGAAUAAGCACCGGCUAACUACGUGCCAGCCGCCGCAGUAA
RNAcentral lists this ribosomal RNA (501 nucleotides) under uncultured bacterium. Its description in RNAcentral is "partial 16S ribosomal RNA". It matches the Rfam family "Bacterial small subunit ribosomal RNA", at positions 29 to 523 of the family's 1533-position model. The record is from RNAcentral.